AUGGCGAAGAGGGAGGACAGCCCUGGCCCAGAGGUCCAGCCAAUGGACAAGCAGUUUCUGGUGUGCAGCAUCUGCCUGGAUCGGUACCGGUGCCCCAAGGUCCUGCCUUGCCUGCACACGUUUUGUGAGAGAUGCCUCCAGAACUACAUCCCUGCCCAGAGCCUGACGCUGUCAUGUCCGGUGUGUCGGCAGACGUCCAUCCUCCCCGAGCAGGGUGUCUCCGCACUGCAGAACAACUUCUUCAUCAGUAGCCUCAUGGAGGCCAUGCAGCAGGCACCUGAUGGGGCCCACGACCCCGAGGACCCCCACCCCCUCAGCGCGGUGGCUGGCCGCCCCCUCUCCUGCCCCAACCAUGAAGGCAAGACGAUGGAGUUUUACUGUGAGGCCUGUGAGACGGCCAUGUGCGGCGAGUGCCGCGCGGGGGAGCACCGAGAGCACGGCACCGUGCUGCUGCGCGAUGUGGUGGAGCAGCACAAGGCGGCCCUGCAGCGCCAGCUCGAGGCGGUGCGCGGCCGACUGCCACAGCUGUCCGCAGCUAUCGCCUUAGUGGGGGGCAUCAGCCAGCAGCUGCAGGAGCGCAAAGCAGAGGCCCUGGCCCAGAUCAGCGCAGCCUUCGAGGACCUGGAACAGGCGCUGCAACAGCGCAAGCAGGCUCUGGUCAGCGACCUGGAGGCCAUUUGUGGGGCCAAGCAGAAGGUGUUGCAGACCCAGUUAGACACACUGCGUCAGGGGCAGGAACAUAUCGGCAGCAGCUGCAGCUUCGCGGAACAAGCCCUGCGUCUGGGCUCGGCCCCGGAGGUGUUGCUGGUGCGCAAGCACAUGCGAGAGCGGCUGGCCGCGCUGGCGGCUCAGGCCUUCCCCGAGCGGCCACAUGAGAACGCGCAGCUGGAACUGGUCCUCGAAGUCGAUGGGCUGCGGCGAUCGGUGCUCAAUCUCGGCGCGCUGCUCACCACGAGUGCCACUGCACAUGAGACCGUGGCCACGGGCGAGGGCCUGCGCCAGGCGCUCGUGGGCCAGCCCGCCUCACUCACCGUCACUACCAAAGACAAGGAUGGGAGGCUGGUGCGCACAGGCAGCGCGGAGCUGCGCGCGGAGAUCACAGGCCCCGACGGCACGCGCCUUCCUGUGCCGGUGGUGGACCACAAGAACGGCACGUAUGAGCUGGUGUACACGGCACGCACUGAAGGCGAGCUGUUCCUCUCAGUGCUGCUCUACGGCCAGCCGGUGCGUGGCAGCCCUUUCCGCGUGCGUGCCCUGCGUCCUGGAGACCUGCCACCUUCCCCAGACGACGUCAAGCGCCGCGUCAAGUCCCCCGGCGGCGCCGGCAGCCACGUUCGCCAGAAGGCGGUGCGCAGGCCCAGCUCCAUGUACAGCACAGGUGGCAAACGGAAGGACAACCCCAUUGAGGACGAACUUGUCUUCCGAGUUGGAAGUCGAGGAAGGGAGAAGGGUGAAUUCACCAAUUUACAGGGCGUGUCGGCAGCUAGCAGCGGACGCAUAGUGGUAGCAGACAGCAACAACCAAUGUAUCCAGGUUUUCUCCAAUGAAGGCCAGUUCAAGUUCCGCUUUGGGGUCCGAGGGCGCUCACCUGGGCAGCUGCAGCGCCCUACAGGUGUGGCAGUGGACACCAAUGGAGACAUUAUUGUGGCAGACUAUGACAACCGUUGGGUCAGCAUCUUCUCCCCUGAGGGCAAAUUCAAGACCAAGAUUGGAGCUGGCCGUCUCAUGGGCCCCAAAGGAGUGGCCGUAGACCGGAAUGGACAUAUCAUUGUGGUCGACAACAAGUCUUGCUGCGUCUUUACUUUCCAGCCCAAUGGCAAGCUGGUUGGCCGUUUUGGGGGCCGUGGUGCCACUGACCGCCACUUUGCAGGGCCCCAUUUUGUGGCUGUAAACAACAAGAAUGAGAUUGUAGUGACGGAUUUCCAUAACCAUUCAGUGAAGGUCAGUGUCUUUCUUCCCUCUAUGACCGCUGUCCUGACAUCUUUUCCUCUUUCACAAGACUGCUCUCUCCCUCACCAUUUUCCCCCCUUGAGAUCAUUCAUUUGAACAAUAAACAUUUAUGGCAUGGCUACUUUGUCCCAGGUGCUAUGCUAAAAGCUGGGGAUACAGCGAUGAAUAAAGCAAAUAUGCUGUGUUCUUUGUUAUGGUUUAGUAGGGGAGAGGUAAAGCAGCAUAUUGCUGUGUAUUAUUAUAUUACAGUAUGAUGUGAUAGAUUCUGUGGUAGGGCAGUGCAGGGCACUGUGUGAGGGCAUGGUAGAAGAAAUUGAUUCAGGUGAGACUGAGAACCACCUAAAACAGCAGGGGAACUAACCGGAAGGGAGAGAAGGAGGAAAGGAUUUGAGGCAAGGAGGACAAGAGGACCAAGAUUUGGAGAUGGUCCCUUAACAGUGUGUUCGAGAAACCACCAGUAGUUCAGACUGGGUUUGAAGAGGGGAGUAUGGAUCAAGUGUAGAUGAAUCUUGUGAACCCUGUUAAGGGGCUUGCUCUCUUCCUAAGAGUUAUGGGGAGUCACUGAAGGGUUGCAGGCAGCGGGGUAAUGCAGUGCUAUGUCUUAGAUCACUCUGGCUGGGGUGAGACUGGUGUCGGGAUGAUCCGUCUUUUGUAGUAAUCUAGAUGAGAAAUGUUGAGGACCGCUGCAGGGGCAAUAUAUACAGUAGGGUGCAGUUUUGAGAGAAUCAGCAAUUUGUGUUAAUUCACUGGCCGUCAAGCGGAGGAGAAGGUGGACUGGCUCUUAU
This is an RNA transcript of Prionailurus viverrinus (fishing cat), 2735 nucleotides long. It is a transcript of the gene named tripartite motif containing 3, with no coding region annotated. The record is from RefSeq and is a predicted model, not a curated record. The transcript is spliced from 10 exons. Lineage: Eukaryota; Metazoa; Chordata; Mammalia; Carnivora; Felidae.